Molecule: ribosomal RNA, 507 nt
Filed under: uncultured bacterium
Lineage: Bacteria
Description: bacterial SSU rRNA
Rfam family: Bacterial small subunit ribosomal RNA
Source: RNAcentral
AAUGAACGCCGGCGGCGUGCCUAACACAUGCAAGUCGUACGAGAAAUCCCGAGCUUGCUUGGGAGAGUAAAGUGGCGCACGGGUGAGUAACGCGUGGGUAACCCACCUUCGAAUCUGGGAUAACUCCGCGAAAGCGGUGCUAAUACCGGAUAAGACCACAGCCGUUUCGGCGGCAGAGGUAAAAGCUGACCUCUCCAUGGAAGUUAGCGUUCGAGGACGGGCCCGCGUCCUAUCAGCUUGUUGGUGGGGUAAUGGCCUACCAAGGCAGCGACGGGUAGCUGGUCUGAGAGGAUGAUCAGCCACACUGGAACUGGAACACGGUCCAGACUCCUACGGGAGGCAGCAGUGAGGAAUUUUGCGCAAUGGGGGAAACCCUGACGCAGCAACGCCGCGUGGGUGAAGAAGGCUUUCGGGUCGUAAAGCCCUGUCAGGUGGGAAGAACCGUUUCGAUACUAAUAAUGUCGAAGCCUGACGGUACCACCAGAGGAAGCACCGGCCAACUCCGUG